GCCACGAGCUGUUGUGCAUCCAGAGGUGGAAUUGGGGCCCGGCAUUCCCUCCUCGUCCCGGGCUGGCCCUUGCCCCCACCCUGCAACUCCUGGUUGAGAUGGGCUCAGCCAAGAGCGUCCCAGUCACACCAGCGCGGCCUCCGCCGCACAACAAGCAUCUGGCUCGAGUGGCGGACCCCCGUUCACCUAGUGCUGGCAUCCUGCGCACUCCCAUCCAGGUACUCGGGGCCAGAUGGGAAAGGCAGAGAAUGUCUGAAUUCUUGGGCCUCUUCCUAACCUGAUUUUGAGAGAGCCCUCAUGCCCCCACCCUUAUCCUGGCCUUAUUCUGCAAUCUCCAUCUGUGUGGGAUAGGCUGGAUAUCUGAGGGCCUUGGAAAUUCCUUCCUGGAAUAUGGGGAGGAGAGGAGAGAAGAGUCAGGGCCCAGACUUGUUCUAGCCUAUGGUCUUGACAGGUGGAGAGCUCUCCACAGCCAGGCCUACCAGCAGGGGAGCAACUGGAGGGUCUUAAACAUGCCCAGGACUCAGAUCCCCGCUCUCCUACUCUUGGUAUUGCGCGGACACCUAUGAAGACCAGCAGUGGAGACCCCCCAAGCCCACUGGUGAAACAGCUGAGUGAAGUAUUUGAAACUGAAGACUCUAAAUCAAAUCUUCCCCCAGAGCCUGUUCUGCCCCCGGAGGCACCUUUAUCUUCUGAAUUGGACUUGCCUCUGGGUACCCAGUUGUCUGUUGAGGAACAGAUGCCACCUUGGAACCAGACUGAGUUCCCCUCCAAACAGGUGUUUUCCAAGGAGGAAGCAAGACAGCCCACAGAAACCUCUGUGGCCAGCCAGAGCUCCGACAAGCCCUCAAGAGACCCUGAGACUCCCAGAUCUUCAGGUACAGAAUCUAAAGGCAAGAUGCAGGGAAGAUAAACUAGGAUAAUGUUUUGGGAUAAGGUCCACGGGUGAGUGUGGGAGGAAUAAACUGUAAGUCCUAGUUUUGGGUCCUUGCUUUAACUCCUUACCCACCCCAGGUUCUAUGCGCAAUAGAUGGAAACCAAACAGCAGCAAGGUACUAGGGAGAUCCCCCCUCACCAUCCUGCAGGAUGACAACUCCCCUGGCACCCUGACACUACGACAGGGUAAGCGGCCUUCACCCCUAAGUGAAAAUGUUAGUGAACUAAAGGAAGGAGCCGUUCUUGGAACUGGACGACUUCUGAAAACUGGAGGACAAGCAUGGGAGCAAGGCCAGGACCAUGACAAGGAAAAUCAGCACUUUCCCUUGGUGGAGAGCUAGGCCCUCCGUGGCCCCAGCAAUGCAGUCACCCAGGGCCUGGUGAUAUCUGUGUCCUCUCACCCCUUCUUUCCCAGGGAUACUGAGGAAAGGCUUGUUUUCUUAGACUCCUCCUCAACUACCAAACUGGGACUCACAGCUUUAUUGGGCUUUCUUUGUGUCUUGUGUGUUUCUUUUAUAUUAAAGGAAGUAAUUUUAAAUGUUACUUUAAAAAGGU
RNAcentral lists this small RNA (1488 nucleotides) under Pongo abelii (Sumatran orangutan). Its description in RNAcentral is "retained intron". The record is from RNAcentral. Lineage: Eukaryota; Metazoa; Chordata; Mammalia; Primates; Hominidae.